Molecule: ribosomal RNA, 315 nt
Filed under: uncultured archaeon
Lineage: Archaea
Description: bacterial SSU rRNA
Rfam family: Archaeal small subunit ribosomal RNA
Source: RNAcentral
UUUAGUCAGGCAACGAGCGAGACCCGUACCCACAGUUGCCAGCGGCUGCUCCGGCAGGCCGGGUACACCGUGGGGACCGCCUCUGCUAAAGAGGAGGAAGGAGCGGGCGACGGUAGGUCAGUAUGCCCCGAAUUCUCCGGGCUACACGCGGGCUACAAUGGAUGGGACAAUGGGCUCCGACACCGAAAGGUGAAGGCAAUCUCUUAAACCCAUUCUUAGUUCGGAUUGAGGGCUGCAACUCGCCCUCAUGAAGCUGGAAUCCGUAGUAAUCGCGUUUCAAAACAGCGCGGUGAAUACGUCCCUGCUCCUUGCACA